RNAcentral lists this ribosomal RNA (490 nucleotides) under uncultured bacterium. RNAcentral's name for it is "bacterial SSU rRNA". It matches the Rfam family "Bacterial small subunit ribosomal RNA", at positions 28 to 507 of the family's 1533-position model. The record is from RNAcentral.
GAUGAACGCUAGCGACAGGCUUAACACAUGCAAGUCGAGGGGCAGCGGAGUUGUAGCUUGCUAUAACUGCCGGCGACCGGCGCACGGGUGAGUAACACGUAUGCAACCUGCCCGUUGCAGGGGGAUAAGCGGAAGAAAUUCCGUCUAAUACCGCGUAAUAUACUUUAGGGGCAUCCUUUUAGUAUUAAAGAUUUAUCGGCAACGGAUGGGCAUGCGGCGCAUUAGCUAGUUGGUGAGGUAACGGCUCACCAAGGCAACGAUGCGUAGGGGUUCUGAGAGGAAGGUCCCCCACACUGGUACUGAGACACGGACCAGACUCCUACGGGAGGCAGCAGUGAGGAAUAUUGGUCAAUGGGCGAGAGCCUGAACCAGCCAAGUCGCGUGAGGGAAGACGGCCCUACGGGUUGUAAACCUCUUUAGUCGGGGAGCAAAAAGGAUCACGCGUGGUCCAUUGAGCGUACCCGAAGAAUAAGCAUCGGCUAACUCCGUG